GACGAACGCGGGCGGCGUGCCUAAUACAUGCAAGUAGAACGCUGAAGAGAGGAGCUUGCUCUUCUUGGAAGAGUUGCGAACGGGUGAGUAACGCGUAGGUAACCUGCCUUGUAGCGGGGGAUAACUAUUGGAAACGAUAGCUAAUACCGCAUAACAAUGGGUGACCCAUGUCAUUCAUUUAAAAGGGGCAACUGCUCCACUACAAGAUGGACCUGCGUUGUAUUAGCUAGUAGGUGAGGUAACGGCUCACCUAGGCGACGAUACAUAGCCGACCUGAGAGGGUGAUCGGCCACACUGGGACUGAGACACGGCCCAGACUCCUACGGGAGGCAGCAGUAGGGAAUCUUCGGCAAUGGGGGCAACCCUGACCGAGCAACGCCGCGUGAGUGAAGAAGGUUUUCGGAUCGUAAAGCUCUGUUGUAAGUCAAGAACGAGUGUGAGAGUGGAAAGUUCACACUGUGACGGUAGCUUACCAGAAAGGGACGGCUAACUACGUGCCAGCAGCCGCGGUAAUACGUAGGUCCCGAGCGUUGUCCGGAUUUAUUGGGCGUAAAGCGAGCGCAGGCGGUUUGAUAAGUCUGAAGUUAAAGGCUGUGGCUCAACCAUAGUUUGCUUUGGAAACUGUCAAACUUGAGUGCAGAAGGGGAGAGUGGAAUUCCAUGUGUAGCGGUGAAAUGCGUAGAUAUAUGGAGGAACACCGGUGGCGAAAGCGGCUCUCUGGUCUGUAACUGACGCUGAGGCUCGAAAGCGUGGGGAGCGAACAGG
RNAcentral lists this ribosomal RNA (765 nucleotides) under uncultured Streptococcus sp. RNAcentral describes it as "bacterial SSU rRNA". It matches the Rfam family "Bacterial small subunit ribosomal RNA", at positions 28 to 776 of the family's 1533-position model. The record is from RNAcentral. Lineage: Bacteria; Bacillati; Bacillota; Bacilli; Lactobacillales; Streptococcaceae.